This 263-nucleotide ribosomal RNA is filed under the name uncultured bacterium. RNAcentral's name for it is "partial 16S ribosomal RNA". It matches the Rfam family "Bacterial small subunit ribosomal RNA", at positions 793 to 1055 of the family's 1533-position model. The record is from RNAcentral.
GUCCACGCCGUAAACGAUGGGUACUAGGCGUCUGGGGGAGCGACCCCCUGGGUGCCGUCGCUAACGCAUGAAGUACCCCGCCUGGGGAGUACGGCCGCAAGGCUGAAACUCAAAGGAAUUGACGGGGCCCGCACAAGCGGUGGAGCAUGUGGUUUAAUUCGACGCAACGCGAAGAACCUUACCUGGGCUUGACAUGCUGGAGAAAGCUUGCAGAAACGUGAGCCCCUUUCGGAGUUCCAGCACAGAUGCUGCAUGGCUGUCGU